This 253-nucleotide ribosomal RNA is filed under the name uncultured bacterium. RNAcentral's name for it is "partial 16S ribosomal RNA". It matches the Rfam family "Bacterial small subunit ribosomal RNA", at positions 524 to 776 of the family's 1533-position model. The record is from RNAcentral.
UACGGAGGGGGCGAGCGUUGUUCGGAAUCAUUGGGCGUAAAGGGCGCGUAGGCGGCACUGUAAGUCAGAUGUGAAAGCCCUUGGCUUAACCAAGGAACUGCAUCUGAAACUGUAGUGCUUGAAUCCGGGAGGGGAGAGUGGAAUUCCCCGUGUAGCGGUGAAAUGCGUAGAUAUUGGGAGGAACACCGGUGGCGAAGGCGGCUCUCUGGGCUGGAACUGACGCUGAGGAGCGAAAGCGUGGGGAGCGAACAGG